GACCCCCCCAGGACCCCCGUUGCCCCCCCCGGCCCCCCACCUGCAGCAGGAGGUGGCAGAUCUCCAGGUAGCCCUUCUGGGCGGCGGCGUGCAGGGGGGUGCGCUUGCUCUGAGCGUCGCUCUGGAAGUUGGGGUCCAGGUUGUCCACUGGGGGGGGGGCGUUAAAUUGAGGGGGGGGCUUCAGGGACCCCCCCCCAAUAAAAAAAAAAUGAAGCCGGGCACUCACGGAGCAUCAGCACCACCUUCUGCAGCUCGCCCUGCUUCACCGAGAGGUAGAGCUGGCGCGGGUGGAAGCGCAGCUUCUUGCGCCUGUGGGGGGGUGGGGGUGUACUGGGAGCACUGGGAGGGACUGGGAGGGACUGGGGGGGUGUGGGGGGGGGCUGGGAGGGGAUUGGGGGGGAUUGGGGGCGGUUGGGGGGGGCCCAGAGCAAGCGGGGAGGGGAGGGGGUGAUGAGGGGAAAUACUGGGAGCACUACUGGGGGCAUACUGGGAGCACUGGGAGGGACUGGGAGGGGGUGGAGGGGUGUGGGGGGGGACUGGGAGGGGAUUGGGGGGGAUUGGGAAGGGUUGGGGAGGGCCCAGAGCAAGUGGGGAGAGAGGGGAGUGGGACUGGAAAGGAUGGGGGGGUACUGGGAGCGCUACUGGGAGCAUACUGGGAGCACUGGGGCCAUACUGGGAGCCCCCAGCAGCUCCCAGAGCCCAUGGCAGGAACAGGGGAUGGAUUUUGGGGCCAUUUAGGGCAGAUUUGGGCCCAACACCAUGCCUUCUUAUACUGCUAUGGGGUUUUUUUUUGGGAACUGAUUUUUGGGUGGAAUUACGGGGGUUUUGGGUCUGACCUGUCGGCCUCCUGCACCAUUAUACGGCAGCGGAAAGGAUUUGGGAUGGAUUUUGGGGCCAUUUAG
Molecule: long non-coding RNA, 902 nt
Filed under: Cairina moschata (Muscovy duck)
Lineage: Eukaryota; Metazoa; Chordata; Aves; Anseriformes; Anatidae
Description: domestica (muscovy Duck (domestic type)) lncRNA (ENSCMMG00000006094.1)
Source: RNAcentral